UUGGAGGGCAAGUCUGGUGCCAGCAGCCGCGGUAAUUCCAGCUCCAAUAGCGUAUAUUAAAGUUGUUGUGGUUAAAAAGCUCGUAGUUGAAUUUCGGGAUUGGCGUGUCGGUCGUGCCUUACGGGGUAUGAACUGGCGUCGUCGAUUUCUCACCUUCUGGAGAAUCACGAUGCCCUUAAUUGGGUGUCGUGUGGAACCAGGACCUUUACCUUGAAAAAAUUAGAGUGUUUAAAGCAGGCAUUUUGCUCGAAUACAUUAGCAUGGAAUAAUAAAGUAGGACGGCUUGGUUCUAUUUUGUUGGUUUCUAGGAUCACCGUAAUGAUUAAUAGGGAUAGUUGGGGGCAUUAGUAUUCAAUUGUCAGAGGUGAAAUUCUUGGAUUUAUUGAAGACUAACUACUGCGAAAGCAUUUGCCAAGGAUGUUUUCAUUAAUCAAGAACGAAAGUUAGGGGAUCGAAGACGAUCAGAUACCGUCGUAGUCUUAACCAUAAACUAUGCCGACUAGGGAUCGGAUGAUGUUAAUUUUUUAAUGACUCAUUCGGCGCCUUACGGGAAAC
Molecule: ribosomal RNA, 555 nt
Filed under: uncultured Glomus
Lineage: Eukaryota; Fungi; Glomeromycota; Glomeromycetes; Glomerales; Glomeraceae
Description: SSU rRNA
Rfam family: Eukaryotic small subunit ribosomal RNA
Source: RNAcentral